RNAcentral lists this ribosomal RNA (409 nucleotides) under uncultured bacterium. RNAcentral's name for it is "bacterial SSU rRNA". It matches the Rfam family "Bacterial small subunit ribosomal RNA", at positions 505 to 916 of the family's 1533-position model. The record is from RNAcentral.
GUGUCAGCCGCCGCGGUAAUACGGAGGGCGCGAGCGUUAAUCGGAAUCACUGGGCGUAAAGCGCGCGUAGGCGGUCUGAUAAGUCAGGCGUGAAAUCCCUCGGCUCAACCGGGGAACUGCGUUUGAUACUGUCUGACUUGAGUCCUGGAGAAGGUGGCGGAAUUCCUGGUGUAGGAGUGAAAUCCGUAGAUAUCAGGAGGAACACCGGUGGCGAAGGCGGCCACCUGGACAGGUACUGACGCUGAGGUGCGAAAGCGUGGGGAUCAAACAGGAUUAGAUACCCUGGUAGUCCACGCGGUAAACGAUGGAUGCUAGGUGUCGGGGAGCGAUCUUCGGCGCCGCAGCUAACGCAUUAAGCAUCCCGCCUGGGGAGUACGGUCGCAAGGCUGAAACUCAAAUAAAUUGACGG